RNAcentral lists this long non-coding RNA (2264 nucleotides) under Homo sapiens (human). RNAcentral describes it as "HSALNT0124712". Lineage: Eukaryota; Metazoa; Chordata; Mammalia; Primates; Hominidae. The record is from RNAcentral.
CAGACUCUCCUUGGUUGGGCAGGUCUUGCUGCGGCUGCUGUCAGGAAUGGGGAUGAGGUUCCUGGGUCAAUAGUGUUGUGUACCUAGGAGGAUUAUGGCUGCCUUUGCUGAGUCAUGCGGGUUGUCAGGGAAGUGGGGGAAAGCCAGCAGUCACAGGCCUCACCCAGCUCCCACGCAAUCCAAAGGGCUGGUCUCACUCCCACAGUGCCUCCCCUAACAGCACCAAAUCUGUUUCCAGGCAGUGGGCAAGCAGGGCUGAGAAUUGCCCCAGACUACCCACCUCCCAGCUGCAAAGGAAAAGGGCUCAGUUCUUCCCCCACCUGUGGAGUCUGCAUGCUGGAUUCCCGUUCUCCCCAGAGUUCUGGCCAGGAGGCUUCUUGCCUGGUUCAAAUUGUUAUGAAGUUCAGCUGGAGACUUCCUUCUCCCUGUGGCAUUUUCCCCACACCUCUAGCUGCCCUCCUGAAGGAUCCUGGUGGUGCCAGGUCUAUGCACUGAAAAUAUGCCUGUGAAGAAAGCAAUAUUUCUGUCUCCAUGGACCUUACUAUCAAACUGGAAGAGACCAAAGAUUAAUAUACAAAUAGGUGAUAAUAGAAAGUCUGAUAUGGAUUGGUGCAAUGAAGAAAAAUAAGGCAUUUAGGCUCACCAUGAUGAGACUUGCUGUCUACCUUGAAUACAUGUUUUAUGUAGGUGACUAAAGUAGCACAGCGAUUAUAUACUAGGAAACUGAUACUAUCAGAAGAAUGAUUUGUUACACAAAAUGGAAGACGUUUUGUUCACAGAACUGUGGGCCCAACCUACUACACGAGUCCUUUCAAGAGAGGAAACGUUCCUGGCUGCAGCUAGAGAGAGAUGGCAGCGUGAGGAGGCUCUGACUUGCUGCAGCUGCCCUGAAGAUACGGGAAGGGUGUCACCGGCUAUGGGGUGCUGGAGGCCUCUGGAAGUGGAUUCUCUUCUAACAACUACAGAAAAGAAUGCUGUUGUGCUGACAUUUUGAUUUUAGCCCAGUGACAUCUGUGCUGGAUUUCUGACCUACAGUACUAUAAGGUUCUCCUGUAGAACUUCCCAGGCAGAAGAAAAGAUAAUUCUAAUGGUUCUGCUGUGGAGCAGAGAGUCACAGCUUGCAUCACAGUCCACGGAUCACCAAGAGGAACCUUACUGACUACUGAAGUCAGAAAAGACAACUUCUAAGGUGCAGCUUUAAGAGUUCCUACAUCUGAUGAAAAUGUGGAAAGCUGUCCUACUGAAUUCAUAUAAGGCACUGGGAAAUUUCAGUGGUGCAGUUAAACAGGAAAUGUUUGCUGACCCCUGCCUUAGACUGCCUUCUUCAAUAAAGAAUUUCGGAUGAAGUACAUGUUAUUCUGUAUGACAGUCUGUUGUUUCCAAGAGAAUAAUAACAAGCUGUCCUUGAAAAGAAUGGCUGGUGAUGGAAUUAGCUCUAGAGAAUUUAAGGUAGUAUUUGCCAAGAAAGAAGGUCAGUCUGAUAUUGUGUCAAACAUAUCCUUUAUUAACCUGAAUAAGUAAAUAUAUGAAUAAGUAAAUAUACCUAAUAAAUUACGAAGUGCUUGGUGAGUUACCUGACCAUUGUUUUUAAAUGUUCUCAUUAGCAUUUCUUGUCUGUAAUAAAUGAUUUUAAAUUUCGUGUUUCUCCGAAAUGGUAUUUUAAAUUCCCUGAAAGAAAUAUUCUCAAUUUUUCAUGGGAGAGAAUGGCUAGGAAAUUCUUUUUCAUAACUGUGAUCUAGCUUGUGUACUCAGGUAACUGAUAAAGUAAUGGAUCAGUCAUCUAUAGAAUACAUGCCUAUUCCAAAGUGGUUACUGCUGUAUGUCAUGGCAUCUGUAAUUGGCCUAAAAAGCGAUAAAUCUGUUUUUGUAAAGUAACCCAAAAGACCCCAUUAAAAGUGGUAUUUUAAAUGUCAGUGAGCAUGUAUUCUAUUUAAUUUAUGUUAAUAGGCCAUAAAUGGGAGAAAAUUGAUGAAAAAUAUUACCUUUUCUGCAUGUUAAAACUCAGGAGUAAUUAUUUUUCAUUUUUCACUUAAGGAUAAGCAGGUGUUUAACACAACAUUAAAUAAAUGCCUCAGUACCACAAGGUGAUAAAUGUGUAACAUUUAACAGAUGAGUAAAUUAAAAUUGUGUCUAAAACAGCACAAACAAGAAAAAAUUUAAAUAUGAGUACACACACAGUAUAUAACAUGGUGUGACACCACUUACCUACAAAGCAGGAGACUUAGACAUGCCAGUUUACACCUGAAAUGGCUUAAACCUUCCCC